AAAUGCGAUAAGUAGUGUGAAUUGCGGAAUUCAGUGAAUCAUCGAAUCUUUGAACGCACAUUGCGCCCCUUGGUAUUCCAUGGGGCAUGCCUGUUCGAGCGUCAUUUGUACCCUCAAGCUCUGCUUGGUGUUGGGUGUUUGUCCCCGUCUCCGCGCGUGGACUCGCCCCAAAGUGAUUGGCAGCCGGCGUACUGGUCCCGGAGCGCAGCACAUGUCGCGCAAACGAGUGCCUUGGUACGGCGGCGUCCAUAAGCCCCUCUCUCACGCUCUUGACCUCGGAUCAGGUAGGGAUACCCGCUGAACUUAAGC
Molecule: unclassified non-coding RNA, 309 nt
Filed under: plant metagenome
Description: partial contains 5.8S ribosomal RNA, internal transcribed spacer 2, and large subunit ribosomal RNA
Rfam family: 5.8S ribosomal RNA (bases 1-104)
Source: RNAcentral